CAGUUUUAGAGCUUAUGUCUAUGAAUAAGUUUGAUUCCUUUCUAUAACAGUACCGCAAGACAUUUUCAGACUUUCUUGAGACGGGACAUGUCCAGUGUGUUAACCAGCAUGUGUGGAGCAGACACUGGGUUCUGAGGGAGAAAGAGGAGGGGACAUACAAUACAAGAGAUUGUAAAGAAGAAAUUAAACAUCAGGUGGGAGGGUGAGUGAAAGGUCAAUGAGAACCACGCACCACCACAGACUCAUCUUUUACAAGCUGCCUCCAUUUCCUGAAAGCCUACUAAAAAGCCUUCUCUCUGAUUCUAAUUUGCUACUUUUAUCAUUUAGACAUUCCAUUUCUGGCAACGACGUAACUGUUGUACAUUUCUGAGAUGCAGAGCUGAAUUAGCGAAUACAAUAGAACAACGACAUUUAAUUCUAUGUCAUUGCAGUUUGUGCCACUUUUUCUGUCUAUGUACCAUUAGCUUUGUUACUUCUUACUUUUUACGCAAUCCUUCUUCACGUAACACUGUUGUAGAUUUAAAAAUUCCUCCACAGAAUAAUUGUUGCACACUGCAGAUUAAAAAAUAAAAUGAUAACAUGAAUCAAUA
Molecule: long non-coding RNA, 590 nt
Organism: Lepisosteus oculatus (spotted gar)
Lineage: Eukaryota; Metazoa; Chordata; Actinopteri; Semionotiformes; Lepisosteidae
Source: RefSeq, a predicted model, not a curated record